UGGGGAAUAUUGGACAAUGGGGGCAACCCUGAUCCAGCAAUGCCGCGUGUGUGAAGAAGGUCUUCGGAUUGUAAAGCACUUUCGACGGGGACGAUGAUGACGGUACCCGUAGAAGAAGCCCCGGCUAACUUCGUGCCAGCAGCCGCGGUAAUACGAAGGGGGCUAGCGUUGCUCGGAAUGACUGGGCGUAAAGGGCGUGUAGGCGGUUUACACAGUCAGAUGUGAAAUCCCCGGGCUUAACCUGGGAGCUGCAUUUGAUACGUGUAGACUAGAGUGUGAGAGAGGGUUGUGGAAUUCCCAGUGUAGAGGUGAAAUUCGUAGAUAUUGGGAAGAACACCGGUGGCGAAGGCGGCAACCUGGCUCAUGACUGACGCUGAGGCGCGAAAAGCGUGGGGAGCAAACAGGAUUAGAUACCCUGGUAGUCCACGCUGUAAAACGAUGUGUGCUAGAUGUUGGGUAACUUUGUUAUUCAGUGUCGCAGUUAACGCGUUAAAGCACACCGCCUGGGGAGUACGGCCGCAAGGUUGAAAAC
RNAcentral lists this ribosomal RNA (532 nucleotides) under uncultured bacterium. Its description in RNAcentral is "partial 16S ribosomal RNA". It matches the Rfam family "Bacterial small subunit ribosomal RNA", at positions 355 to 900 of the family's 1533-position model. The record is from RNAcentral.